UACCAUCUUCAACCUUGGGCUUGGACUUCUGUACCGCUCCCUUCUUCGGUGGAGCACUGGUCUUAGACUUGAAGAGAGCAAGAGUUGGCCUGUAAGAAGAUAUUUGUUGAUGAGUGCUCGGUGACGGGAGAAGAAGAUGGGUGAAUGAGGCCGGUCGAAGACGCGAGAUUUGAUACUGGAGCAGAGAGUCGACUCUCUUACAGUCGAGAAUGCGGCUUCCUCCUAGACUGAGCAUGGAUUGAGCCAUGGCUGAGAGUAGGACUGUCG
This 267-nucleotide unclassified non-coding RNA is filed under the name Hevea brasiliensis (rubber tree). The record is from RNAcentral. Lineage: Eukaryota; Viridiplantae; Streptophyta; Magnoliopsida; Malpighiales; Euphorbiaceae.